This 466-nucleotide ribosomal RNA is filed under the name uncultured bacterium. RNAcentral describes it as "bacterial SSU rRNA". It matches the Rfam family "Bacterial small subunit ribosomal RNA", at positions 30 to 517 of the family's 1533-position model. The record is from RNAcentral.
AUUGAACGCUGGCGGCAUGCCUUACACAUGCAAGUCGAACGGUAGAGGGGGCAACCCCUUGAGAGUGGCGAACGGGUGAGUAAUAUAUCGGAACGUGCCCAGUCGUGGGGAUAACGUAGCGAAAGUUACGCUAAUACCGCAUACGAUCUAUGGAUGAAAGCGGGGGAUCGCAAGACCUCGCGCGAUUGGAGCGGCCGAUAUCAGAUUAGGUAGUUGGUGAGGUAAAGGCUCACCAAGCCGACGAUCUGUAGCUGGUCUGAGAGGACGACCAGCCACACUGGGACUGAGACACGGCCCAGACUCCUACGGGAGGCAGCAGUGGGGAAUAUUGGACAAUGGGCGAAAGCCUGAUCCAGCAAUGCCGCGUGAGUGAUGAAGGCCUUAGGGUUGUAAAGCUCUUUUACCCGAGAUGAUAAUGACAGUAUCGGGAGAAGUAAGACUCCGGCUAACUCCGUGCCAGCAGCCG